GAGGAAUAUUGGUCAAUGGACGCAAGUCUGAACCAGCCAAGUAGCGUGCAGGAUGACGGCCCUCUGGGUUGUAAACUGCUUUUAGUUGGGAAUAAAAAAGAGGACGUGUCCUCUAUUGUAUGUACCUUCAGAAAAAGGACCGGCUAAUUCCGUGCCAGCAGCCGCGGUAAUACGGAAGGUCCAGGCGUUAUCCGGAUUUAUUGGGUUUAAAGGGAGCGUAGGCGGAUUAUUAAGUCAGUGGUGAAAGACGGUGGCUCAACCAUCGUUAGCCAUUGAAACUGGUAGUCUUGAGUGCAGACAGGGAUGCUGGAACUCGUGGUGUAGCGGUGAAAUGCUUAGAUAUCACGAUGAACUCCGAUCGCGAAGGCAGGUGUCCGGGCUGCAACUGACGCUGAGGCUCGAAAGUGUGGGUAUCAAACAGGAUUAGAUACCCUGGUAGUCCACACAGUAAACGAUGUAUACUCGCGGUUUGCGAUAGAAUGUAAGCCGCCAAGCGAAAGCAUUAAGUAUACCACCUGGGGAGUACGCCGGCAACGGUG
This 539-nucleotide ribosomal RNA is filed under the name uncultured bacterium. Its description in RNAcentral is "bacterial SSU rRNA". It matches the Rfam family "Bacterial small subunit ribosomal RNA", at positions 356 to 896 of the family's 1533-position model. The record is from RNAcentral.